RNAcentral lists this ribosomal RNA (2182 nucleotides) under human gut metagenome. RNAcentral describes it as "bacterial LSU rRNA". It matches the Rfam family "Bacterial large subunit ribosomal RNA", at positions 14 to 2286 of the family's 2925-position model. The record is from RNAcentral.
AGAGCGCAGGGAGGAUGCCUUGGCAUCAGGAGCCGAAGAAGGACGUGGUAAGCUGCGAAAAGCUACGGGGAUUGGCAAGCACGAUAUGAUCCGUAGAUGUCCGAAUGGAGCAAUCCACAUGGAGUCAAGUCCAUGUAUCAUAUACUGAAUAAAUAGGUAUAUGAGGGGAACCGCCCGAACUGAAACAUCUAAGUAGGGCGAGGAAAAGAAAUCAACCGAGAUUCUGUGAGUAGUGGCGAGCGAAAGCGGAAGAGGCUAAACCGAGAGGAGCAAUCCUUUCGGGGUUUAGGACUGCAUUUAGUACAAUGAUUGUUAACCGAACAGCAUGGGAAGGCUGAUCAAAGAAGGUGAGAAUCCUGUAGGUGAAAACGAAAGUUGACGAGCAGUAUCCAAAGUACCGCGGGGCACGUGAAAUCCCGUGGGAAGAUGGGGGGACCAUCCUCCAAGCCUAAAUACUACCUGAUGACCGAUAGCGAAAAGUACUGUGAAGGAAAGGUGAAAAGCACCCCGGGAGGGGAGUGAAAGAGAACCUGAAACCCUGUGCUUACAAGCACUUAGAGCACGUCAAAGUGUGAUAAGGUACCUAUUGUAGAAUGGUCCGGCGAGUUAUUGUAUGCAGCGAGGUUAAGUAGUUCAGCUACGGAGCCGAAGUGAGAGCGAGUGUUAACAGCACGUUCAGUUGCAUGCAAUAGACCCGAAACCGGGUGACCUAUCCAUGUCCAGGAUGAAGUGAGGGUAAAACCUCAUGGAGGUCCGAACCCACUCCCGUUGAAAUGGUAGGGGAUGAGGUGUGGAUAGCGGAGAAAUUCCAAUCGAACCCGGAUAUAGCUGGUUCUCCCCGAAAUAGUUUUAGGACUAGCCUCGUGAUUAAGAUUAUCGGAGGUAAAGCACUGAAUGGCCUAGGGGUCGAGAGAUUACCGAAGCCUAUCAAACUCUGAAUGCCGAAUAAUCAUGCACGGGAGUCAGACUGUGUGAGAUAAGUUUCAUAGUCGAAAGGGAAACAGCCCAGACCUACAGCUAAGGUCCCAAAGUACGUUUAAGUGGAAAACGAUGUGAAAUUGCGUAGACAACCAGGAUGUUGGCUUAGAAGCAGCCAUACAUUAAAAGAGUGCGUAAUAGCUCACUGGUCGAGUGACUUUGCGCGGAAAAUUUAACGGGGCUAAAACGUACACCGAAGCUUAGGCUUGCAACUAUGUUGCAGGGGUAGGGGAGCGUUGAAUGAGGGGUGAAGUCGUAGCGAAAGCGACGGUGGACUUCAUUCAAGUGAGAAUGCCGGAAUGAGUAGCGAGAAUUAUGUGAGAAUCAUAAUGGCCGAAAGCCUAAGGUUUUUGGAGGAAGGUUCGUCCGCUCCAAGUAAGUCGGAAGCUAAGGUGAGGCUGAAAAGCGUAGCCGAUGCACAAACGGUUGAAAUUCCGUUACCACAGAAAGAUUUAAACUAAGGGACACUUUUGAAGAGCUGAUGCCGGGUGUUGGUUACCCCGGUCGUAAGGGAACGAAAUCAAGUAGUGAAGUCAGCGUGGAUGAAGGCGAGAAAAGCUUAGUGUAUAUCUUAUGUGUCCGUACCGCAAACCGACACAGGUAGGUAGGAAGAGAAUUCUAAGGCCAACGGGAGAAGGGUAGUUAAGGAACUCGGCAAAAUGUCCCCGUAACUUCGGAAUAAGGGGAGGUUUCUACGGAAACCCGCAGAGAAUAGUCCCAGGCAACUGUUUAUCAAAAACACAGCUCUAUGCUAAAUCGAAAGAUGACGUAUAUGGGGUGACGCCUGCCCGGUGCCGGAAGGUUAAGAGGAGGAGUGAGAGCCCUGAAUCGAAGCCCCGGUAAACGGCGGCCGUAACUAUAACGGUCCUAAGGUAGCGAAAUUCCUUGUCAGGUAAGUUCUGACCCGCACGAAUGGCGUAAUGAUCUGGGAGCUGUCUCAACUGCCCGCCCGGCGAAAUUGUAGUACCGGUGAAGAUGCCGGUUACCCGCGACUAGACGGAAAGACCCCAUGGAGCUUUACUGUAGCUUAAUAUUGGAUUUCGGCAUUUCAUGUACAGGAUAGGUGGGAGACUAGGAAACAUAGGCGUCAGCUUAUGUGGAGUCGUCCUUGGGAUACCACUCUUGGAGUGCUGAAAUUCUAACCUGCAGCCCUGAAUCGGGUUGGGGGACAUUGUUAGGUGGGCAGUUUGACUGGGGCGGUCGC